RNA transcript from Lutra lutra (Eurasian river otter), 1430 nucleotides. It is a transcript of the gene named uroporphyrinogen III synthase, with no coding region annotated. The transcript has 10 exons. The record is from RefSeq and is a predicted model, not a curated record. Lineage: Eukaryota; Metazoa; Chordata; Mammalia; Carnivora; Mustelidae.
CGCCCUAUAAGGACUCCCAAGCCAUAAUGAAAGUUCUCUUACUGAAAGACGCCAAGGAGGAUGACUGUGGCCAAGAUCCGUACAUCAGGGAAUUGGGGUUAUAUGGACUCGAAGCCACUCUGAUCCCUGUUUUAUCAUUUGAGUUUUUGUCUCUUCCCAGUUUUUCUGAGAAGCUGUCUCAUCCUGAAGGCUAUGGAGGACUCAUUUUUACCAGCCCCAGAGCAGUGGAAGCAGUGGAGCUGUGUUUGGAGAAAGACAAUAAAACGGAAGUCUGGAAACAUUCUCUGAGAGAAAAAUGGAAUGCUAAGUCAGUGUAUGUGGUCGGAAAUGCUACUGCUUCUCUAGUGAAGAAAAUCGGCCUGGACACAGAAGGAGCAAACUCUGGAAAUGCAGAAAAGCUUGCAGAAUACAUCUGUUCCCGGGAGUCACCGGCAUUGCCCCUUCUGUUUCCCUGUGGAACCGUCAAAGGAGAAAUCCUGCCGAAAAUGCUCAAGGACAGAGGGAUCCCCAUGGAAAGCAUAACUGUCUAUCAGAAGAUCCCACACCCAGGAAUCCAAGUGAACCUCAACAGCUACUAUUCUAAGCAGGGCGUUCCGGCCAGCAUCACGUUCUUCAGUCCCUCCGGCCUUACAUACAGCCUCAGGCACAUUCAAGAGUUAUCUGGUGACAGCAUCAAUCGAAUUAAGGUCUGGGAGCCACUUCGAGUUCACGAGUGUGUCUGCUGUGAGGUGGGGCCCAGCACCAUCUUUUCCUUAGGGAGUUUCUCGAGGAACAGCUGCAUCAUGAGGUGGAGCGGGGAGCUUGGUCUUCUGGGGGCAGCGGCCUCUGUCAUGUGGCUCUGACGUGCCCCAGAAAGUGUCCUGAGAUUGUUCCCUGCGCCACACUUGGCCCCGGGAGGGAGGAUGGAAGGGGGCGCCGGGUAAGGGCUACCAUCUUCCCAGACCUUCCCCCAGGUGGGGGUGCGUGCACCCAGGGUUGGGGUGGGGUGACGUGCAUGCUCUCCCCGCCAGAGCAACAGGCCUUACUUCCCCCCGUGCUAGCCUGCCAUGCAAGGGCAGCUGUACCCCUUCUACAGGUGAGGAAACAGGGCCAGAGGGGCUAAGUGACCUGUGAGGACACCUGGGCAAGGGCUGGGGUCACCACGACGGAAAACCACAUUCGGCCCCAAGCGAGGCUCUGCAUGUAACCAUCAAACACGCAAUGUUCAGGGAGAGAGGAGUCCUGCUGACACGGCUCAGGCCACCGAGCGUCUCACUCGGAGUAACCGUGUUCCCCCGCCGAGCACUCCUCUGUGGUGGGGCCCCAGCCAGUUUGCCGCCAUCGGCCCCAGCACAGCCCGUGCACUGACCGCCCAGGGCCUGCGUGUGAGCUGCAUGGCCGAGAGCCCCACGCCGCUGGCCCUGGCCAAGGGUCUCCAGGUGGCCCUUCAG